Sphaeramia orbicularis (orbiculate cardinalfish) is the source of this 937-nucleotide long non-coding RNA. RefSeq lists it as uncharacterized. The transcript has 3 exons. The record is from RefSeq and is a predicted model, not a curated record. NCBI's taxonomy places the organism in Eukaryota, Metazoa, Chordata, Actinopteri, Kurtiformes, Apogonidae.
UGUACUUGUGCCCGCCCAUACGGUUCAGUCAUAUGAGCUUGUGGGAGUGGUUAAUAGUGACAAAGUUGGUUUGCUAUAAAGUCUCGCUCCUCGCGCUGCUACACCAGGAAGAGGAGAAUGAUCCAGUUUUCUGCUUGACUACUUAAACCAUCCAUGUGACCAUACACGGAUCCUACACGAUGACACUCUUCUGGAGUAUCGCGAAGACCGACACUUGGAGUUGAACCGAGCAGUGAGACAGGCAGAUGUUUACCAGCGGAGGAAUCUCCGGUGGAGGGAGCAGAUGUGUGUUAACAUGGCACUGACAAGAACACAACUGACAAACACCAGGAUUCAUCAGCCGAUGAAGACUUAUUUCCGGACCCAGGAGGUUUAAAGUGAAGAAUGGCCUGUACAGAUGAAAUCCAACAGCAUGAGGCUCUGGAUGAGAUGGAAGUUUGUGAUCAGGAAGUUGUGGAUACAUCAGUGUCAGAUUUACCCAAGAUGAACCAUGACAUGAAGUUAGCUGAAGUGAAGUCCAAGGCCGAGGUUAAAACCACAGAUUAUCAAUCCCAUGAAUAACACCGCAACGAAUGGAUCAACUGUGAAGUCCAUGUUGAAGGUUUUGAAGGUGCUGAUGGUGCAGAUCUUCGUGGCCCCUGUUCCCAGGUCAUGGCUGAUGUCUUUGGUGGGCUUUAGCAAACACACAAAUGUAACCAGGGUUAAAAUGUGUAAUUGAUGGUUUUUCCAACACUCUCUCUGAUCCUUGAAUGCAGCAUGACCUGCACAUAUGAUGUCAGUUGGCUAAUCAAGGUGCUAUAGAAGCUGCCCUGACUAAAGUUUCAUAUACAUAAAAAUAAAUUCACCAAAACACACCCAAAUUUUAAAAUCUUCCUAUUAGAAUUUGAAAAAUAUAUUAAAUUUUUAGAAUUUAUCUAUAAAAAAAAAAAAAAAACCU